AAAUAGCAUUUAAGAACAGAUAUCUCCAAAUGGCAGUUAAAUAGAGGUAAGAGAAAUAUUCAGUACCAAGGGACAGAUAUCCCUAUAUUGCAAUAUUGAUAAAUAGAUAUCAGAGAAAUAAAAUAAUGCCAGGGGUUUAGAUGUUUUCAUAUGGUAAGUUUAAUAGAGGUAAGAGAAAAUAAAAAGGGCCAGGGAACUGAUAUUCCCAUAUGGCAAGGGUGAGUGCCAGGGGACAUCCCCAUAUGGCAAGAGAAGUAAGUAGUUGCAGGGGUUACACCCCCAUGGCAGGAAAAUUAGAUGCAAGUAAGGGCAAAAAUAAUUAGCACAAGGGUAUAAAUGUACCCAAGUAGCAAGAGAAAUAAACACAAGAGAAAUAAGUAGUGCCAGGGGUUAUACCCAAAUGGCAAGAGAAAUAGGUAUAGUUAUGGUUUAAUGCUAUUUUUUAGCACCAGGGGACAGAUAGCCCCAAAUGGCAAGAGAAAUAAAGAGUGCCAGGAGACAUCCCCAAAUGGCAAGAGAAAUAUGUGUAUAGCCAGGGAACAAUACUAACUGGCCAGAAAUAAGCAGCAUAUUUUAGCAAGAAAUAUAUUUAUGGCACUAGAGUAUCUCUGUCAAGAUAUCUCUAAAUGGAAGAAAUACAGAUAACCCCAGAGGAUAUAUAUAUGGCAACAGAAGUAGUAUCAAUGGAUGCCAAAUGAGAAGGGAAAUAGCACCAGGGGACAUUCCCAAAUAGCAAAAUAUAUAGUGCCAAGGAACAUUCCCAAAUGGUAAAAGUAAUGAACAAUAAUAAUAUUUCAAUAUUAGU
Molecule: long non-coding RNA, 805 nt
Organism: Octopus sinensis (East Asian common octopus)
Lineage: Eukaryota; Metazoa; Mollusca; Cephalopoda; Octopoda; Octopodidae
Exons: 2
Source: RefSeq, a predicted model, not a curated record